GGCCUCAUGGCGCAACGGUAGCGCGUUCGACUCCAGAUCGAAAGGUUAUCCGUUCAAAUCGGGUUGGGGUCA
Neurospora tetrasperma FGSC 2509 is the source of this 72-nucleotide transfer RNA. It matches the Rfam family "tRNA". Rfam says of the family: Transfer RNA (tRNA) molecules are approximately 80 nucleotides in length. The record is from Rfam. Lineage: Eukaryota; Fungi; Ascomycota; Sordariomycetes; Sordariales; Sordariaceae.